Long non-coding RNA from Lactuca sativa (garden lettuce), 831 nucleotides. RefSeq lists it as uncharacterized. NCBI's taxonomy places the organism in Eukaryota, Viridiplantae, Streptophyta, Magnoliopsida, Asterales, Asteraceae. The record is from RefSeq and is a predicted model, not a curated record.
CUCACCUUUUACUCACGAGAUUUCCUCCCCAUAUCCUCUAUUUUUACCUUCUUAUAACCCAUACAUAAAAAUCAAUUAGCCAUUCAAGAUCACUCCCAAAUUCAGCCCCUCCCUCACUCAUUUCCCAGCAGAAAACGAGAGCAAGAGAGGAGCUCUUGCCCUCUCGGUUUGGACAGCAAAACAGGAAUAGAAAAGGCUGCUGUCCCUCUUCCCUUUUCUCCCUUCAAACCAUCCCCAUCACCACCUUUUUCCUUCAAGUUUGAUCAGGUCCAUAAGCCAAAAUGAUGGCUUAAUCACAGCCCCUUUUUCCUUGUUUGUUACUUGACUGAAAUCACCCAAAUACACUCUUUAGUUGCUGAAUUUUCGAGAACCUACACACACAAAUAGUUGCUGAACUCCAGGUACCAAAUAAGCUCCUAAAAACCUUCCUGUUGCUGCCAUUUAUCGAGAUCAUAACAGUCCAUUGAAAGUCAUUUUUGAGUGACAUAGAUCCCAUGACAACCUCUUCCAUGAUGCCUAGAAAGAUGGUGUUCAACUCAUGAUAUAACAAUCCUUUGUGAUAGUAUUAGAACAAAGUCCUCCCAAAGAAUACUUCCGUCACGAGCCUUCGAGAAACCGGGAACAUCUCGACAUCUUUGAACCCGAUAACGACACGCAACUAAAGUAACUAAGGAGCCGGAGGUAGGACAUCGGUUCUAAGGAAAUUAUAGUUCCUUUCUUUUGGGAAUAAUCUUGAACUGUUUUUAUUUACUGAUGUGUGUUUAAACUAUGAAUAUGUAAUUUCAAUUCCAACACUUUAAGGUUUGUAACAUAUUGAUUUAAAUAUAUUAA